UGGGGAAUCUUGCGCAAUGGACGAAAGUCUGACGCAGCGACGCCGCGUGGGUGACGAAGGCCUUCGGGUUGUAAAGCCCUGUGGGGUGAGACGAACAGCUUCUGGUCAAAUAGGCCAGGGGUCUGACGGUAUCGCCUUAGCAAGCACCGGCUAACUCUGUGCCAGCAGCCGCGGUAAUACAGAGGGUGCAAACGUUGCUCGGAAUUACUGGGCGUAAAGCGCGUGUAGGCGGUUUUAUAAGUCCAACGUGAAAGCCUGGGGCUCAACCCCAGAAGUGCGUAGGAUACUGUGAAGCUGGAGUCCUGAAGAGGAGAGCGGAAUUCCCGGUGUAGAGGUGAAAUUCGUAGAUAUCGGGAGGAACACCUGUGGCGAAGGCGGCUCUCUGGGCAGGUACUGACGC
RNAcentral lists this ribosomal RNA (400 nucleotides) under uncultured bacterium. RNAcentral's name for it is "bacterial SSU rRNA". It matches the Rfam family "Bacterial small subunit ribosomal RNA", at positions 355 to 746 of the family's 1533-position model. The record is from RNAcentral.